GGCUCAGACUCAGUCGUAACAAGGUACCGUAGAGUUUGAUCCUGGCUCAUACUCGUGCGUAACCUAGCUAUAAGACUGGAAUAACUCCGGGAAACCGGGGCUAAUGCCGGAUAAUAUUUAGAACCGCAUGGUUCUAAAGUGAAAGAUGGUUUUACUAUCACUUAUAGAUGGACCCGCGCCGUAUUAGCUAGUUGGUGGGGUAAUGGCUUACCAAGGCAACGAUACGUAGCCGACCUGAGAGGGUGAUCGGCCACACUGGAACUGAGACACGGUCCAGACUCCUACGGGAGGCAGCAGUAGGGAAUCUUCCGCAAUGGGCGAAAGCCUGACGGAGCAACGCCGCGUGAGUGAUGAAGGUCUUCGGAUCGUAAAACUCUGUUAUUAGGGAAGAACAAAUGUGUAAGUAACUGUGCACGUCUUGACGGUACCUAAUCAGAAAGCCACGGCUAACUACGUGCCAGCAGCCGCGGUAAUACGUAGGUGGCAAGCGUUAUCCGGAAUUAUUGGGCGUAAAGCGCGCGUAGGCGGUUUCUUAAGUCUGAUGUGAAAGCCCACGGCUCAACCGUGGAGGGUCAUUGGAAACUGGGAAACUUGAGUGCAGAAGAGGAAAGUGGAAUUCCAUGUGUAGCGGUGAAAUGCGCAGAGAUAUGGAGGAACACCAGUGGCGAAGGCGACUUUCUGGUCUGUAACUGACGCUGAUGUGCGAAAGCGUGGGGAUCAAACAGGAUUAGAUACCCUGGUAGUCCACGCCGUAAACGAUGAGUGCUAAGUGUUAGGGGGUUUCCGCCCCUUAGUGCUGCAGCUAACGCAUUAAGCACUCCGCCUGGGGAGUACGACCGCAAGGUUGAAACUCAAAGGAAUUGACGGGGACCCGCACAAGCGGUGGAACAUGGGGGUUAAUUCGAAGCAACGCGAAGAACCUUACCAAAUCUUGACUUCCUUUG
This 944-nucleotide ribosomal RNA is filed under the name Staphylococcus nepalensis. Its description in RNAcentral is "bacterial SSU rRNA". It matches the Rfam family "Bacterial small subunit ribosomal RNA", at positions 65 to 993 of the family's 1533-position model. Lineage: Bacteria; Bacillati; Bacillota; Bacilli; Caryophanales; Staphylococcaceae. The record is from RNAcentral.